This 403-nucleotide ribosomal RNA is filed under the name Verrucomicrobiota bacterium. RNAcentral's name for it is "Verrucomicrobia bacterium partial 16S ribosomal RNA". It matches the Rfam family "Bacterial small subunit ribosomal RNA", at positions 355 to 776 of the family's 1533-position model. The record is from RNAcentral. Lineage: Bacteria; Pseudomonadati; Verrucomicrobiota.
UGGGGAAUAUUGCACAAUGGGCGCAAGCCUGAUGCAGCAACGCCGCGUGAACGAUGAAGGUCUUCGGAUCGUAAAGUUCUGUUGCAGGGGAAGAUAAUGACGGUACCCUGUGAGGAAGCCCCGGCUAACUACGUGCCAGCAGCCGCGGUAAUACGAAGGGGGCUAGCGUUAUCCGGAUUUACUGGGCGUAAAGGGUGCGUAGGUGGUCUAUUAAGUCAGGUGUGAAAGCGUGAGGCUUAACCUCAAUAAGCACUUGAAACUGAUAGACUUGAGUGAAGGAGAGGAAAGUGGAAUUCCUAGUGUAGCGGUGAAAUGCGUAGAUAUUAGGAGGAAUACCGGUGGCGAAGGCGACUUUCUGGACUUUUACUGACGCUCAGGUACGAAAGCGUGGGGAGCAAACAGG